GACGAACCGGACGAACGUUAUUCGGAAUUACUGGGCUUAAAGAGUUCGUAGGCGGCCAAGAAGGUGAGGUGUGAAAUCCCACGGCUCAACCGUGGAAUGGCGCUUCAAACCACUUGGCUGGAGGAAGGUAGGGGUGAGCGGAACUGAUGGUGGAGCGGUGAAAUGCGUUGAUAUCAUCAGGAACACCGGUGGCGAAGGCGGCUCACUGGACCGUUUCUGACGCUGAGGAUCGAAAGCCAGGGUAGCGAACGGG
This 253-nucleotide ribosomal RNA is filed under the name uncultured bacterium. RNAcentral describes it as "partial 16S ribosomal RNA". It matches the Rfam family "Bacterial small subunit ribosomal RNA", at positions 524 to 776 of the family's 1533-position model. The record is from RNAcentral.